This 421-nucleotide ribosomal RNA is filed under the name uncultured bacterium. Its description in RNAcentral is "partial 16S ribosomal RNA". It matches the Rfam family "Bacterial small subunit ribosomal RNA", at positions 363 to 776 of the family's 1533-position model. The record is from RNAcentral.
CUUCCACAAUGGGCGAAAGCCUGACGGAGCAACGCCGCGUGGGUGAAGAAGGUCUUCGGAUCNUAAAACCCUGUUGUUAGAGAAGNNNNNNNGNGAGAGUAACUGUUCACGUUUCGACGGUAUCUAACCANNNANANCCGGCUAACCACGUGCCAGCAGCCGCGGUAAUACGUAGGUCGCAAGCGUUAUCCGGAUUUAUUGUGCGUAAAGGGAACGCAGGCGGUCUUUUAAGUCUGAUGUGAAAGCCUUCGGCUUAACCGGAGUAGUGCAUUGGAAACUGGGAGACUUGAGUGCAGAAGAGGAGAGUGGAACUCCAUGUGUAGCGGUGAAAUGCGUAGAUAUAUGGAAGAACACCAGUGGCGAAAGCGGCUCUCUGGUCUGUAACUGACGCUGAGGUUCGAAAGCGUGGGUAGCAAACAGG